This 431-nucleotide ribosomal RNA is filed under the name uncultured bacterium. RNAcentral describes it as "partial 16S ribosomal RNA". It matches the Rfam family "Bacterial small subunit ribosomal RNA", at positions 342 to 795 of the family's 1533-position model. The record is from RNAcentral.
CGGGAGGCUGCAGCAACCGGGAAUCUUGCGCAAUGGGCGAAAGCCUGACGCAGCGACACCGCGUGGAGGAUGAAGGCCUUUGGGUUGUAAACUUCUAAACUCUGCCAAUAUCGGCAGAGGAUAAGCACCUGCAAACUACGUGCCAGCAGCCGCGGUAAAACGUAGGGUGCGAGCGUUAUCCGGAUUUAUUGGGCGUAAAGAGUUUCGUAGGCGGUUAAGUAAGUAGUCAGUUAAAACCUUCGGCUCAACUGAAGAAAUGCUGACUAAACUGCUUAACUUGAGGUCGUUAGGGGGUGCUGGAAUUCCUGGUGUAGGGGUGGAAUCCAUUGAUAUCAGGAAGAACACCGAGGGCGAAGGCAAGCACCUGGGGCGACCCUGACGCUGAUGAACGAAAGCUAGGGGAGCAAAAGGGAUUAGAUACCCCGGUAGUC